UUCUAAGCAUAGGUUUGGGUGUCAGCCAU
Molecule: non-coding RNA, 29 nt
Filed under: Rattus norvegicus (Norway rat)
Lineage: Eukaryota; Metazoa; Chordata; Mammalia; Rodentia; Muridae
Source: RNAcentral